UUGCACAAUGUCGCCUUGAUUUACACUACCUCUAGAAUUAAGCUCUUUUUCGAUAGUUGUUAUGCACAAAGGAUACACCCCAAAUUCUCUGUUAUCUUUUUUCAAUUCUACAUACACUCCGUAACCCAUGUCAUUGUGUAUUUCCAUUGGCCUGCGAUUUCCUUCAACAUUGUAUUGUAUUUUAUCAGUCUUUGAGCUCAAAUUAAUACCAAGUUGAUUAAAAAUAAAAACAACUAGAUCAUUGAAUGAGGCAUACUCCUUAAUCAGUAUUCCCUCAAUUGAAAAAUUAAUAUAAUUGCCCUCAUCGUUCCACUUGCCAGAAUGACGCAACAAAACUGUUAAACUUGCCAUAUGUAUAGAUGAACUAUACCUUCUUUUGUAUAAAAUUUGUAUCAAUCGAGAAAGAGUAGAAGAGAAUGGAAGAAGUUCGAUCAGAUGUUCCUCUGGUUUUUUGUUGUAUUCACGUUGAACAAUUGUUUAUGUUGCUCUGGUUUUUCGCUGUAUUCACGUUUCUCGG
RNAcentral lists this long non-coding RNA (517 nucleotides) under Nicotiana benthamiana. RNAcentral describes it as "long non-coding RNA (NBEN_LNC010319)". Lineage: Eukaryota; Viridiplantae; Streptophyta; Magnoliopsida; Solanales; Solanaceae. The record is from RNAcentral.